UCUUAAAAACUUCUCUAAAAUGAACAUUGUGUAGUUGUAUGUGCCCAUGUCAAAUGUUUCUUCACAUAAUACUCCAUAUAAGUAACCACACUACAGUAAAUCACACUUAGGUUUUAAAGUGGAUUCGCAUGUAAUCCUAAAAGUGUUCCUACCUUUCAAAAAAAUAAAAAGCAAUAUAAUAGCACAAUUUAUAUAUAAAUCUUAAAACCAGAAGUAUCUGAUUUGUGCCUACCCAUAAAUACAUGUUCUCUGUACAGUUUGCAUCCUUUCUCUGCUAGAAAAAUAUGAGCAGUGCUGAAACAGUCCUGCCUGAAGAAGUUUCUUUCUUUGAUCAUGAUGCCUUAGCAGCAGGCCUCCAUGUGUAUUGAUUCACAUGGCCUGGCUUUCCCCUACACAGAUGUAAGGGCUGUAAGACUGAGCCCUACAUAGAGGAGGGGCACUCACUCUCAUGUACUUUUCACUAGUAAAGCUGGCAGGGUCAGGCAGCUGGAUAGUACAGACUUGCUGGGAGAGGACGAGCAUUAGAAACUGAAGUGAUGAUAUAAGUUCUGAAUACCUGCAACCAUUGAAGCCAUAGAGUCAGAGUCCCUGGGCCAGAGCAUCCAGUCAGCUGAGUGUUGCAUUCCUGCAGCUGACAGGAUGAUACGGCUCUGGUUAUAUGUUGGGGGGGGGGGUGGAUUUUAAAGAGAGUGAGACAGAGAAUUAAGAGCCAUAAGAAAAAUAGGGUCUACAUUUUCCCUAGAAAAGGGACUUAUCCAGUAAGAUACAAUGUUCUCUCUCAACUCCCACUGAAUUCACAGGUACUGCCCAGUACUUUGCAGGAUGAGGCCAAGACCAUUCAAAAACAACACACACACACACACAUACCAAUGGACUAACAAUAACGGGAUUGUAAUAAAACAAAAAAAAAUCAUGGAGCUGUUUUGCAACCAUGUUCUCUUUGAAGGUGACCAGCUGCUGUCCCUUUGAGAGAGCCCUGGGACUUGCUCUCAGAUGGAUUACAAGUAGCACAUAGAACGUAGCUGUCUGUUCUUUCUGGCCUUUUCUGACAUUUUCUUUGCAGCCUAAGGCUUUCAAUUCUGAAUAUCAGCGUUGAGAUGCUUGUCACAACUGCCCUCGUGGAAAGUCCCUGGUGGGUACAGAAGGCAUCAGCAUUUAUCAAAAAAAUAUUUGAGCUCUUGCUUCAAAAUGCUGUAAUUCUACUGCUUGGGUGUUUUCUGAAUCCAUGUUUAAUUAAUGAACUCUCUCAAUAGGCUGUUCUUAAUAAGACAAAAAAAAAGUAAGUCAACUACAGCAUCUUUGGUCUGGUCUUGCAAUCAACAUGCCUGUGUAAAUGGAGCAAUUUCACCUUCAGAAACAGUGUCCUAGUACCAGCAUGUUCAAGCAGCUGACUCAACCUUGUGUGAAAGCAUCCAGCAGCCUGGCUUGUGGAAUACAUAGUCUGCCUCAAUGCCUCAAUGUUAUUUUGUUACUCCUGUGUAGCUGUUUUCGAUACUGGCAUCAGCUCAUUUCAGUUUUCAAACUGACAACUUCAAGUAUUUUUCUUUACUUGGUAUUUAAAAUUAGAUAAGGAAACAUAGUUUUCCAAGAUAAUUUAUUAUCUUUCAGUUUCAGAGCAUAUUUUCAGUAAUAGGUAAACAAAAGACCCUUUUUACAGUUUUUCAAUAUUAAUAUGAUAGGAAAAAAGGAUACAUUGUUUUCCCAUUAUAGAUGACAUUUUAGUAACAUUA
Long non-coding RNA from Gopherus evgoodei (Goodes thornscrub tortoise), 1730 nucleotides. RefSeq lists it as uncharacterized. The record is from RefSeq and is a predicted model, not a curated record. The transcript is spliced from 3 exons. Lineage: Eukaryota; Metazoa; Chordata; Testudines; Testudinidae.